GACGAACGCUGGCGGCAUGCCUAAUACAUGCAAGUCGAACGCUGAAGCACUCUGCUUGCCGAGUGCGGAUGAGUGGCGAACGGGUGAGUAACACGUGGGAAAUCUGCCUAUAAGAGGGGGAUAACAUUCGGAAACGGAUGCUAAUACCGCAUAUAUUCUUGGACCGCCUGGUCCUUGACAGAAAGACGGCUUUGCUGUCGCUUAUAGAUGAUCCCGCGGCGUAUUAGUUAGUUGGUGGGGUAAAGGCCUACCAAGACAAUGAUACGUAGCCGACCUGAGAGGGUGAUCGGCCACACUGGGACUGAGACACGGCCCAGACUCCUACGGGAGGCAGCAGUAGGGAAUCUUCCACAAUGGGCGAAAGCCUGAUGGAGCAAUGCCGCGUGAAUGAAGAAGGUCUUCGGAUCGUAAAGUUCUGUUAGUAGAGAAGAACAAGUCAAGGAGUAACUGUCUUGACUUUGACGGUACCUAACCAGAAAGUCACGGCUAACUACGUG
This 497-nucleotide ribosomal RNA is filed under the name uncultured bacterium. Its description in RNAcentral is "partial 16S ribosomal RNA". It matches the Rfam family "Bacterial small subunit ribosomal RNA", at positions 28 to 507 of the family's 1533-position model. The record is from RNAcentral.